Molecule: ribosomal RNA, 275 nt
Filed under: uncultured bacterium
Lineage: Bacteria
Description: partial 16S ribosomal RNA
Rfam family: Bacterial small subunit ribosomal RNA
Source: RNAcentral
ACGAAGGGGGCAAGCGUUGUUCGGAAUCACUGGGCGUAAAGCGCACGUAGGCGGAUUGUUAAGUUAGGGGUGAAAUCCCGGGGCUCAACCUCGGAACUGCCUCUGAUACUGGCAAUCUUGAGUUCGGGAGAGGAGUGUGGAACUCCGAGUGUAGAGGUGAAAUUCGUAGAUAUUCGGAAGAACACCAGAGGCGAAGGCGGACACUCUGCCCGAUACUGACGCUGAGGUGCGAAAAGCGUGGGGAGCAAACAGGGAUUAAGAUACCCGCGUAGUCC